Long non-coding RNA from Aethalodelphis obliquidens (Pacific white-sided dolphin), 494 nucleotides. RefSeq lists it as uncharacterized. The transcript is spliced from 2 exons. The record is from RefSeq and is a predicted model, not a curated record. Lineage: Eukaryota; Metazoa; Chordata; Mammalia; Artiodactyla; Delphinidae.
ACUUGGAAGUGAAGAUGACUUACUAAGGAGUGCCACCUUGGUCAGAAGACCUAGUGCCGUUGCUGUAUCAUCAUGGCUGGGCUGCCGAGGAAGAAUGACAUCUGGGGCAGAUCCUGAAGGCGUCGACAGCUGGAAGCUCUCGGGGAACUGCAUUUCUUGAAGCUGAAUGGCAGAUUCUUUAGAGAGAUCUCAGAGGUCCCUGAACUUUGGCCACAAUCUCACCUGAGCCAGUAGACAGCAUCUCCUGAGAACAGGAAGACCUCUGAUCUGCCAUCUCAUUACACCAUCUUUUCAUCCCUUUUCCCUAAUUCUAGAAAGCUCAGUUCCUUCUAGUAUUCCUAUAAAAGAAAAUAUUUUGAAAAGACUCUUGAGACACUUGGAAGACCUUAUGCAGGAUCUGGGUGUUCUUCACUGCAGUAGGUCCCCCUGCCCUAUUUCAAUAUGUUCCCCUUUUCCCUUGAAGAAUCCUUCUGAAUACAGUCUCUCCUUACUAA